Molecule: ribosomal RNA, 253 nt
Filed under: uncultured bacterium
Lineage: Bacteria
Description: partial 16S ribosomal RNA
Rfam family: Bacterial small subunit ribosomal RNA
Source: RNAcentral
GACGGAGGAUGCAAGCGUUAUCCGGAAUGAUUGGGCGUAAAGAGCGUGUAGGCGGCCUGACAGGUCUGCUGUGAAAACUCGAGGCUCAACCUCGAGAUGUCGGCGGAAACCGUCUGGCUAGAGUCCGGAAGAGGAGAGUGGAAUUCCUGGUGUAGCGGUGAAAUGCGCAGAUAUCAGGAAGAACACCUAUGGCGAAGGCAGCUCUCUGGGACGGUACUGACGCUGAGACGCGAAAGCGUGGGGAGCGAACAGG